Molecule: long non-coding RNA, 124 nt
Organism: Sinocyclocheilus anshuiensis
Lineage: Eukaryota; Metazoa; Chordata; Actinopteri; Cypriniformes; Cyprinidae
Exons: 3
Source: RefSeq, a predicted model, not a curated record
UUUUGAGAAUCUGGCUUUCGACGAAGGUUUGGAACAGAUCCUUGAAGAGCUAUUUGACGAGGCCCAAUUAGUUACCUGUGAUGAUGACUGCGAUGUUAAUAACGGUGAACACGUUGGUUCUGAC